AGGACGAACGCUGGCGGCGUGCUUAACACAUGCAAGUCGAGCGGAAAGGCCCUUCGGGGUACUCGAGCGGCGAACGGGUGAGUAACACGUGAGUAAUCUGCCCCUAGCUCUGGGAUAGCUCCGGGAAACCGGGAUUAAUACCGGAUACGACCACCUUAGACAUCUUUUGUGGUGGAAAGAAUUUCGGCUAGGGAUGAGCUCGCGGCCUAUCAGCUUGUUGGUGGGGUAACGGCCUACCAAGGCGACGACGGGUAGCCGGCCUGAGAGGGCGACCGGCCACACUGGGACUGAGACACGGCCCAGACUCCUACGGGAGGCAGCAGUGGGGAAUAUUGCGCAAUGGGCGAAAGCCUGACGCAGCGACGCCGCGUGGGGAUGAAGGCCUUCGGGUUGUAACCCCUUUCAGCAGGGACGAAGCGAAAGUGACGGUACCUGCAGAAGAAGCGCCGGCUAACACGUGCCAGCAGCGC
This 470-nucleotide ribosomal RNA is filed under the name uncultured bacterium. RNAcentral describes it as "SSU rRNA". It matches the Rfam family "Bacterial small subunit ribosomal RNA", at positions 26 to 518 of the family's 1533-position model. The record is from RNAcentral.